CAUAUUUAGUAAAACUCACAUUCGUCAGACCGACUCAGGUGGAUAUAUUGAGAAGGGUGAAAACAUUGGAAUCACUAUGUUCUUGCUGGGCGCCGUUCUUUUCUUUUUCACCCACCAUCUUCAUUAUGCGAAUGGACUAAUAUGUGGCUUUUCAAAUUGCACGUUAGAUGGGUAUGACAGAGCAUGGUGUUGUGGGGAACACAAGCAUUCAUGCUGCAAGGAAUCGAAUUCGUCGAGUCAUUGGUAUGUCUGGGUGAUUGUUGCGUUAGUUCUAGUCGGCAUCUUUAUUGGUAUAGUGUUUUUCGUUCGGUAUCGUCGACGCCGUGGUGUCUACAAUCAAAUUCAGUAAAGAAACUUCUCGUCCACCAAUGAAUUCAUUAAUUAUAAAUACUAUGACUUGCUGUGAUAAUAACAUUUGUGAAUAAUACCUUUACGAUUUUUGUA
This is a long non-coding RNA of Dendronephthya gigantea, 444 nucleotides long. RefSeq lists it as uncharacterized. Lineage: Eukaryota; Metazoa; Cnidaria; Anthozoa; Malacalcyonacea; Nephtheidae. The transcript has 3 exons. The record is from RefSeq and is a predicted model, not a curated record.